AACUCUCAACUCUCCUUGCUUUAUUGGCAAGGGCAGAGGUUGGAUAGUGGAGGCUUGCCGGAUGAUGAACGUUCGGCUCCUCUGAAAUGCAUUAGCGAUAACAACCAUUACUUGGCUACGCUAAGCUGUGAUAAUAUCUAAGCUAGCUAGAUCAGAGUGUUGACAGAGGGUCGGGUUUCGAAGGGCUUUUGCUCUUCGGCGUUCGCUCUAAGCGAUACCUAUGCGACUCUGUGCAAGCGUUGAAUUGCUUCUAAUUGUCCUUUGACAACUUACUGAUU
This 278-nucleotide unclassified non-coding RNA is filed under the name uncultured fungus. Its description in RNAcentral is "sequence contains ITS2". The record is from RNAcentral. Lineage: Eukaryota; Fungi.